This 376-nucleotide ribosomal RNA is filed under the name uncultured bacterium. RNAcentral's name for it is "bacterial SSU rRNA". It matches the Rfam family "Bacterial small subunit ribosomal RNA", at positions 30 to 409 of the family's 1533-position model. The record is from RNAcentral.
AUUGAACGCUGGGCGGCAUGCCUUACACAUGCAAGUCGAACGGCAGCGGGCCUUCGGGUGCCGGCGAGUGGCGAACGGGUGAGUAAUGCAUCGGAACGUGCCAUUGAGUGGGGGGAUAACGUAGCGAAAGUUACGCUAAUACCGCAUAUUCUGUGAGCAGGAAAGCAGGGGACCGCAAGGCCUUGCGCUCUUUGAGCGGCCGAUGUCAGAUUAGCUAGUUGGUGAGGUAAAGGCUUACCAAGGCGACGAUCUGUAGCGGGUCUGAGAGGAUGAUCCGCACACUGGAACUGAGACACGGUCCAGACUCCUACGGGAGGCAGCAGUGGGGAAUUUGGACAAUGGGCGCAAGCCUGAUCCAGCAUUCCGCGUGCAGGAU